Long non-coding RNA from Astyanax mexicanus (Mexican tetra), 853 nucleotides. RefSeq lists it as uncharacterized. The record is from RefSeq and is a predicted model, not a curated record. The transcript is spliced from 3 exons. NCBI's taxonomy places the organism in Eukaryota, Metazoa, Chordata, Actinopteri, Characiformes, Acestrorhamphidae.
AACUAAAAGGUUUUAAAAGGUAAAAAGCUAAAAGGUUUAAAAAAGGUAAAAAGCUAAAAGGUUUAAAAAAGGUAAAAAGCUAAAAGGUAAAAAGCUAAAAGGUUUAAAAAAGGUAAAAAGCUAAAAGGUUUAAAAAAGGUUAAAAAGGCUAAAAGGUUUCAAAAGGUAAAAAGCUAAAAGGUAAAAAGGUAAAAAGCUAAAAGGUUUAAAAAAGGUAAAAAGCUAAAAGGUAAAAAGCUAAAAGGUUUAAAAAAGGUAAAAAGCUAAAAGGUAAAAAGCUAAAAGGUUUAAAAAAGGUAAAAAGCUAAAAGGUAAAAAGCUAAAAGGUUUAAAAAGGUAAAAAGCUAAAAGGUAAAAAGCUAAAAGGUUUCAAAAGGUAAAAAGCUAAAAGGUUUAAAAAGGUAAAAAGCUAAAAGGUUUCAAAAAGGUAAAAAGCUAAAAGGUAAAAAGGUAAAAAGCUAAAAGGUUUAAAAAAGGUAAAAAGCUAAAAGGUAAAAAGCUAAAAGGUUUUAAAAGGUAAAAAGCUAAAAGGUUUAAAAAGGUAAAAAGCUAAAAGGUUUAAAAAAGGUAAAAAGCUAAAAGGUUUAAAAAAGGUUAAAAAGGCUAAAAGGUUUCAAAAGGUAAAAAGCUAAAAGGUAAAAAGGUAAAAAGCUAAAAGGUUUAAAAAAGGUAAAAAGCUAAAAGGUAAAAAGCUAAAAGGUUUUAAAAGGUAAAAAGCUAAAAGGUUUAAAAAGGUAAAAAGCUAAAAGGUUUAAAAAAGGUAAAAAGCUAAAUGGUAAAAAGCUAAAAGGUUUAAAAAGGUAAAAAGCUAAAAGGUUUAAAAAAGGUAAAAAGCUAAAAGGUAAAAAGGUAA